GAGUUAAUUAAGAGGCAACUCUUAACUGACCAACUGGGGAAAGGCCGAGAGGACCAAGCCCAGGGGGCAGAAAGCUUCGCGGAGUAGCGCUAAAAUCGUGAAGCGGGAGGCAUGGCGGUAGCGCCUACAACGACGUGCCAA
Molecule: non-coding RNA, 141 nt
Submitted as: unclassified sequences
Source: Rfam